CUAAUACAUGCAAGUCGAGCGGACCGACGGGAGCUUGCUCCCUUAGGUCAGCGGCGGACGGGUGAGUAACACGUGGGUAACCUGCCUGUAAGACUGGGAUAACUCCGGGAAACCGGGGCUAAUACCGGAUGCUUGAUUGAGCCGCAUGGUUCAAUUAUAAAAGGUGGCUUUCAGCUACCACUUACAGAUGGACCCGCGGCGCAUUAGCUAGUUGGUGAGGUAACGGCUCACCAAGGCGACGAUGCGUAGCCGACCUGAGAGGGUGAUCGGCCACACUGGGACUGAGACACGGCCCAGACUCCUACGGGAGGCAGCAGUAGGGAAUCUUCCGCAAUGGACGAAAGUCUGACGGAGCAACGCCGCGUGAGUGAUGAAGGUUUUCGGAUCGUAAAACUCUGUUGUUAGGGAAGAACAAGUACCGUUCGAAUAGGGCGGCACCUUGACGGUACCUAACCAGAAAGCCACGGCUAACUACGUGCCAGCAGCCGCGGUAAUACGUAGGUGGCAAGCGUUGUCCGGAAUUAUUGGGCGUAAAGCGCGCGCAGGCGGUUUCUUAAGUCUGAUGUGAAAGCCCCCGGCUCAACCGGGGAGGGUCAUUGGAAACUGGGGAACUUGAGUGCAGAAGAGGAGAGUGGAAUUCCACGUGUAGCGGUGAAAUGCGUACAGCUGUGGAGGAACACCAGUGGCGAAGG
This 692-nucleotide ribosomal RNA is filed under the name uncultured Bacilli bacterium. RNAcentral's name for it is "bacterial SSU rRNA". It matches the Rfam family "Bacterial small subunit ribosomal RNA", at positions 48 to 721 of the family's 1533-position model. Lineage: Bacteria; Bacillati; Bacillota; Bacilli. The record is from RNAcentral.